CUGAUGUGUUGGGCCAAUCACGAAGCGUCAUUUCUUGACUGGCAGCAAAAACAACCAAUCACAGCAGUGCUUCUCUGGCUGGCUCUGUCCAAUCACAAACAAGAAGUGUUCUCCCUAAGGAAUACCCUUUCCGUCCAAUGUGAAAUGCUGUGGCAUCUUGCACUUCAGGGUCACCGUGCGUUUGUUUUGUUUCUCAGGCUCGUUUAACUAAAGGCUGGUGUACUGGGUGGCGGCGGCGUUCGGCAGCAGUAUCCGGGGUUUCGGGUUCGGCCUCUCCUUCCUGCCGAGCAUCGCCAUGACGGUCGCCAACAUGAUCUUUCUGUUCACAGUGGAGGCGGGGGGGUCGGUGUUCAGCCUCCCACCCGCCCCUCAGGAGGCGCUGACUCCACCCGCCGGCCGGCAGCGGUUCUGGGGAUGAUCCGAUGCUGAGAUGUUUUUUAAACGCUAUUUUUUUUAUAAAAGGAAACUUUCUUUAAAGGUUUCUGUGUUAAUAAAGUUGUAUUCUGAAAUGUUUGAAGAUGUAAGCCCCCCUCCAAUGUUUAAUAAUUUGUUUGUAGGAAUCAACUUGUUUUAUUAUUUCCAUUUAAGUUUAAUAUCUGUUUAAUGAACCUUAAUUAUUUGAUUCUCACAAUAAAAAAUCUGCUUUUAUAAAAACUGUUUUCCCAUUUCACAAUAAAAGCAUGACAUAUUUUA
Molecule: long non-coding RNA, 693 nt
Organism: Gymnodraco acuticeps
Lineage: Eukaryota; Metazoa; Chordata; Actinopteri; Perciformes; Bathydraconidae
Exons: 2
Source: RefSeq, a predicted model, not a curated record